AUUUAAAUCAAGCAGGAGGAGGCAUGUGAAAGGGGCAAGCGACCUAGAUCUCCUACAGUCACACCUUUCACCACCUUCCUGGAUUGGCUUGGAAAUUUGAGGUGAGGGAAACGUAUUAAUACAUCCAUUAAUGCCAAUGAGCUAGUGUGUUUACUGCAGGUCAUGAUCUAAUUUUGAGAAAGCCGCCAUGUUUCCUUGCCAGAGCUCCCCUUACUCCCC
This is a non-coding RNA of Pelobates cultripes (western spadefoot toad), 219 nucleotides long. NCBI's taxonomy places the organism in Eukaryota, Metazoa, Chordata, Amphibia, Anura, Pelobatidae. The record is from the annotation of a GenBank genome assembly.